Ostrea edulis (European flat oyster) is the source of this 1474-nucleotide long non-coding RNA. RefSeq lists it as uncharacterized. The record is from RefSeq and is a predicted model, not a curated record. Lineage: Eukaryota; Metazoa; Mollusca; Bivalvia; Ostreida; Ostreidae. The transcript has 2 exons.
CCAUGUUUAUCAAAAUUCGGCCUAACGUCCAAAGUGAAUAAUUUUUUGUUAGAAAUAUCCUCUAACAUGUUCUUUUCCUAUAAUGUACUGGUUUUUAUACGUAGAGUUCGUGAAAGAACACUAUUUUUAGGUUUACAUUACUAGUAUAAAUCCUAUAAUUUGCUCUACUUUUUAAGAUUGCGUCAUACAACGUCGCUAUAUAUUAUUAGAAGUGGUAACGUAUUGUAAAACAUAAUUAUGCAAUGAGUGGUUUAAUAUAUAAUAAGAUCUUGAAAAAGAAAUUUUCUCUCCCAAUACGCAAUAAGGUUAUUUUACUUAUAGCCCGAAUGGCACACCAUAUUUUUCAAUCUCCUUCAUUCGGCCAUUUUCACACACCGCGCCGUUAGCCUGUUUGCGCUGUUCGUGGAAGUUGCAGAGGAUGUACUCAUCGCAUUUCAACGAUGAUAUAAUAUGUACAGCAAAAAUUGAUGGCAAGGGUGACAUGAAUCAGAUUGACAAGAAUCCAUAUAAUGCUAUCAUCACUGCCAUCAGAUUCAUACAUAGCUUCCUUGUUGUGCCUGCCAAUAGCAAGGUACCAGAUUAUACAGCAGUUAUGUGGAAACAGAUUCCCACAAUAGGGGGACCAGAUUGACACCUACAUUGUACAGAAUUAGGCAGUUAUAUCAGAACUGGAAAAACUGGAUCCAAACAAGACUAUAUUGCUUGGAAGAAACAUGUCGACUCUGAAGUUUACCCUUAAUUUCACAUUACCAUUACUCCUAUUUUGAAAUAUAAUGUAUUACAUUACUUGAGAGAGAAUUUACAUUACACAUUUACAUAACAUACUGUCAGAUAUUAAAGAAAUGGCAGAAAAAUUAUUUCUGUAUUAUGAUUUUUAAUUAUACAUUAACAUAAGUACACAAAAUAUUCAGCAAUGUUAGGAAACAUAUCUAUUAAGUUAUUCAUUGCAUUUGAUUGUCAUCAAUGUUUCAAAUGCUUCAGUCAAUCUCACUAAUAAAAUGAAUUAUUCUAAAUCUUCAAAAUAUCAUCAAAUAUUUGAAGUAGUGUAAAUGUAAUGAAAAAUAAUGUGCAGUACAGUAUGCAUUACAUUAACAUUACUUGUAAUGCAAAAAUGGUCCAUUACACCCGCAUUACAUUGAAACUGGCUGUCAUUUAAUUACCAUUACCACAGGCCUGGUUCUGUCGAGAGGUAUUGAAAUUGUCUGUAGAGACUUUGUCUCAGGAAGUGGUCGAGAUUGGUGGUGACAAUUUUGUUGGAUGUGAAUUUACUGACACACAUGUCUACACUUGCUACACAAUAUAUCAUGUGGUGGUUUCAACAAGAAAGUUCUUACUCUGCAGGAAAUGACGAACAGCUAAUGGAUUCACAUUUUUUCUGAUUUUUCUUCUGUACAUUAGAUGCAUUGGAAAAACUUUUCUUUCCAUUAUCUUUUGCUGGUUCAUACUUUGAAAUAAAAUCAAGUCCGAAAAUAAA